This is a long non-coding RNA of Passer montanus (Eurasian tree sparrow), 1399 nucleotides long. RefSeq lists it as uncharacterized. The record is from RefSeq and is a predicted model, not a curated record. The transcript is spliced from 4 exons. NCBI's taxonomy places the organism in Eukaryota, Metazoa, Chordata, Aves, Passeriformes, Passeridae.
CCUUCCUCUCUCGCCUGCAUCCUCUAACUAAAGCGCUGUCGUCCCGCGUUUCUUCCCACUGCACGUGCACUAGGAGUAUAGAGCAUUGAAAAAAAAUAAUAAAAAGCUCAGGUCGACCCUGCCUAACUGGCAACCUCACAGAUGUUUGUGUUAGCUCAGGGGAAUGGAUAACAGAAGAACAGGAACACAAAAAUAGAUGCAGAUAAUCAGUGCGUAAUGGGUCAGAGUCCAGAUGGAUCUGACAGAUGGGAACCUGGAACAGGAGAGAAGCUGUGAUUAUGUUCUCAACUGCAAGCACCUUGGUGGAAAAGUCUCCAAGAUUCUUACUGAAUGCGUAAGAUUUAACAGGAGUACCUUUUCUUCUAGCCUACCUAUAGGAGUUUUCAACUUGUUCUUCUGCAUGUUGCUCCUGCUAAUAGAUGAAUAAUUCAGUACCCAGCUUUCAUGGUAGCUCAGAGUACUGUUCCCUAAUACUGUGAAUGAAGGAAUAUAAGUAUCCAUCUUACAGACAGAAGGAAAUGCAUUUAAAAAGAAAGGUCAUACAGGGUUUUAAAAAAGUUUCUUCAAUAGUUUUUCUAACUUAAGGGCUUGAUUAUGUAUGUACCAGCCCUAACUGUUUGAAAAGGUGAUUUUCUGGGACUCUGUUUGAGAGGGCACUUUUUGGGGAGCAUAGUAAUGAAUAGCACAUACUCACCCUGAACUAUGAAGCUACUAUACAGUAAUUGUUGUAUGUGAAACUAUGCAAAUACAAAGGUAAAUUCAAGCCAGUAUAGUGACUCCUUCAUGAUGGCAAAUAUUUCUGUCUCUAGAUGGCAAGAAUAUAAAGCUCUGGCAAUUAACAGGUUCAGCAGACCUGUUAAAUUUCCUGAGAGCCUUUGCACUGUAAAAGAAGACAUUUGGAGAAUGUAUGGCAAAUCUAGCAAUAAGAUCCCCUGAUUUAUUGGCUUCUCCCAGCCAACUCCAGAAGAUAAAAUUGCUAAGGAACUAUUAUUGGAUUCUAAAGAGAAACUGUUGAAGAGGAGGAGGCCACAACAUGAUUGCCCUUUUUCCUGGGAGAUGCUGUCACUACCAUUAUGGAUUUCCUGGAUUGCUCUGUGGGUGAGCCUGGUUAAUUAGUUACCACCUCAAACCCUUAAUAGGAAGGACUAGGAUAGUAUAUAGCUUGUCCCACAUUCUUAAUCUUCAGGGUCAGUUGAAAAAUUUGGAAUAAUCUGACAAAUGACAAAAGUAACAAAUUUACUGAAAAUGACAACUGUUCCACAUUUAUAUCCUAGCUUCAGUCUCCUGAAGGUCUUUGUGACUGAUGUGACAUGAUCAGUGUAAAGCAUGCUGAGUUUUCCUACAGAUUAGUAAUUAAAUAGCCUAGAUAUAGGGUGCAUGAAGCAUUAGUCUGAAUCUA